UUAAAUCCUAUAAUAUGAAUAAACACUGCACAAAAUAAAUUAAAUAACGUAAAAAAAUACUACAAAAAAAGGGUUUUUUGUCGUUAAAUCACUCUAAAUUUGACCGCAAAAUUUUGAAAUUUGGUAGGUAGAUUCCUUGAUCAGAAAUCUAUCAUACUCAAUAAUUAAAUCCUAUAAUAUGAAUAAACACUGCACAAAAUAAAUUAAAUAACGUAAAAAAAUACUACAAAAAAAGGGUUUUUUGUCGUUAAAUCACUCUAAAUUUGACCGCAAAAUUUUGAAAUUUGGUACGUAGAUUCCUUGAUCAGAAAUCUAUCAUACUCAAUAAUUAAAUCCUAUAAUAUGAAUAAACACUGCACAAAAUAAAUUAAAUAACGUAAAAAAAUACUACAAAAAAAGGGUUUUUUGUCGUUAAAUCACUCUAAAUUUGACCGCAAAAUUUUGAAAUUUGGUAGGUAGAUUCCUUGAUCAGAAAUCUAUCAUACUCAAUAAUUAAAUCCUAUAAUAUGAAUAAACACUGCACAAAAUAAAUUAAAUAACGUAAAAAAAUACUACAAAAAAAGGGUUUUUUGUCGUUAAAUCACUCUAAAUUUGACCGCAAAAUUUUGAAAUUUGGCAGGUAGAUUCCUUGAUCAGAAAUCUAUCAUACUCAAUAAUUAAAUCCUAUAAUAUGAAUAAACACUGCACAAAAUAAAUUAAAUAACGUAAAAAAAUACUACAAAAAAAGGGUUUUUUUGUCGUUAAAUCACUCUAAAUUUGACCGCAAAAUUUUGAAAUU
Molecule: long non-coding RNA, 778 nt
Organism: Diabrotica virgifera virgifera (western corn rootworm)
Lineage: Eukaryota; Metazoa; Arthropoda; Insecta; Coleoptera; Chrysomelidae
Exons: 4
Source: RefSeq, a predicted model, not a curated record